AACGCUGGCGGCAUGCCUAAUACAUGCAAGUCGAGCGAGCUGAAUUCAAAGAUCCCUUCGGGGUGAUUUGUUGGACGCUAGCGGCGGAUGGGUGAGUAACACGUGGGCAAUCUGCCCUAAAGACUGGGAUACCACUUGGAAACAGGUGCUAAUACCGGAUAACAACAUGAAUCGCAUGAUUCAAGUUUGAAAGGCGGCGCAAGCUGUCACUUUAGGAUGAGCCCGCGGAGCAUUAGCUAGUUGGUGGGGUAAAGGCCUACCAAGGCAAUGAUGCGUAGCCGAGUUGAGAGACUGAUCGGCCACAUUGGGACUGAGACACGGCCCAAACUCCUACGGGAGGCAGCAGUAGGGAAUCUUCCACAAUGGACGCAAGUCUGAUGGAGCAACGCCGCGUGAGUGAAGAAGGUCUUCGGAUCGUAAAGCUCUGUUGUUGGUGAAGAAGGAUAGAGGCAGUAACUGGUCUUUAUUUGACGGUAAUCAACCAGAAAGUCACGGCUAACUA
RNAcentral lists this ribosomal RNA (502 nucleotides) under Lactobacillus delbrueckii. Its description in RNAcentral is "bacterial SSU rRNA". It matches the Rfam family "Bacterial small subunit ribosomal RNA", at positions 32 to 503 of the family's 1533-position model. The record is from RNAcentral. Lineage: Bacteria; Bacillati; Bacillota; Bacilli; Lactobacillales; Lactobacillaceae.